Non-coding RNA from Xenorhabdus doucetiae, 145 nucleotides. Lineage: Bacteria; Pseudomonadati; Pseudomonadota; Gammaproteobacteria; Enterobacterales; Morganellaceae. The record is from Rfam.
UGUUUACCUGAAUGAUCUGUGAGCCUGCAAAGAUCGCCUCCGGGUGGCUGGAAAACUCCUGUAGCCUGCAAGGGAGAGCGUCACGCGGUACAUCUGCGCACCUUUGGAAGCAGAUAUUGCCAACAUCAGGGCAAUGAAGGUUAUU